Molecule: long non-coding RNA, 1212 nt
Organism: Gallus gallus (chicken)
Lineage: Eukaryota; Metazoa; Chordata; Aves; Galliformes; Phasianidae
Source: Ensembl
AGGGUCCAUUUGUCUGUAAGGGAGCACACUGUUGUAGUUACUAAUUGUCUGGUAUCUUCCAAGGGAUUCCGUGUCUUUGAGGGGUUGAUACUGGGUCCAAUCUUGUUCAAUAUCUUCAACAAUCACCUGGAUGAAGUGAUAGAGUCCACCCUCAGCAAGUUUGCUGAUGAUAGAAAGCUGGGAGGAGUGGCUGACACACCAGAAGGCUGUGCUGCCAUUCAUCGAGACCUGGAUAGACUGGAGAGGUGACCCUAAUGAGGUUCAACAAGAGGAGGUCCUGCACCUGGGGAGGAAUAAGCAUAUGCAUCAGUACAGGACCAUUCAUUAAUGUGUUGAACCAUGCAGAUCAAAGCAUGGAUGCCAUGGAUGACCUUCUCCAUUUUGAAAACUGAUCACAUUUUCUGGUACUGGGAGUUGCCUUUGUAUUGGCAAGGGAGUCGCAAGAGCUCAGGUCUCUGGGAGGUGGCACGCCAUGAAGCUCAGCAAGCCUUGCUCUUUCUUCUACUAGGGUGGAGGUAUCAUUCAUCACUUCUCAUUGAUUAAAGGCUGGAUACAUUUCAAAGAGCAAGAUGUCUUAUAGGAAAAAUAUUUUCAACGUUAUUUUUUGGAACCAGUAGUCUUUUUUGAAAUAUGUUACCACCAAUGCAGCCCCAUGUUGCUAAGUCCUUCUUUGCUUAUUUUUAGUAUAUCAGAGUAAAUCUGAUUCAUCGAGAUGUCAAGACUUACUUCAAAAAACAGGAGGCAGCAGAACCAUACAAAGCUAUUAUUCAGCAUUGUUAACAGCAGCUAGAUAUGACACAAGGCAACAGUGAGCUGGCUGCAAUUUUUUUUAUUAUUUGGGAUUAGCAGUUCAGGAUCAUCAUACAGGUAUUGCUUGUUCUCUGAGCACUGAAAAAGAAACUACGUGUGAAGGCAAGAGCUGGGUGACUACUGGUCAUCCAGCAGUCAUGUAUCGUGUAUUUAAGGGGUCUGUUAUAUUCAGUGCUCUUCCUAAAACCCAGCUUGCUUUGUUCAUGUGUUAUUUGCCCAGGCUAAUGCCAUCUUCAGUUCUGGUUGUAUAUAUUGCUCUUUGUUGCUCCCUCUCUUUUCUGUUCCCUUUUAGUUGUGGUGAUUCAGUUCAAGGGUAGCUCUGCUCUAGUGAUAAGAAAUAUACAGAGAUGCUUACGCUUGUAUUUCUGGCAAAAUAAGGGCUCUAAUAAACAGCACGGUACU